Molecule: ribosomal RNA, 254 nt
Filed under: uncultured bacterium
Lineage: Bacteria
Description: partial 16S ribosomal RNA
Rfam family: Bacterial small subunit ribosomal RNA
Source: RNAcentral
UACGAAGGGGGCUAGCGUUGCUCGGAAUCACUGGGCGUAAAGGGUGCGUAGGCGGGUCUUUUAAGUCAGGGGUGAAAUCCUGGAGCUCAACUCCAGAACUGCCUUUGAUACUGGAGAGCUUGAGUCCGGGAGAGGUGAGUGGAACUCCGGGUGUAGAGGUGAAAUUCGUAGAUAUUCGGAAGAACACCAGUGGCGAAGGCGGCUCACUGGCCCGGUACUGACGCUGAUGCGCGAAAGCGUGGGGAGCAAACGGG